RNAcentral lists this transfer RNA (67 nucleotides) under Sacculina sp. 'Beibu Gulf'. RNAcentral's name for it is "tRNA-Lys". Lineage: Eukaryota; Metazoa; Arthropoda; Thecostraca; Sacculinidae. The record is from RNAcentral.
AUUACAAUAGCAUAAAUAAUAAUGCUUUAAAUUUUUAAUUUAGUUAUGGAGUCUAAUUCUUGUAAUA